Molecule: non-coding RNA, 1029 nt
Organism: Nylanderia fulva
Lineage: Eukaryota; Metazoa; Arthropoda; Insecta; Hymenoptera; Formicidae
Source: RefSeq, a predicted model, not a curated record
GAAUGUGCGGAAUUUUAGAAAAAUUCUUUGCGUAUUUAAACAAAAAAUAUCACUCUCAAUAUUACAUACUUUUGACAGCGAUAUAUGCACGAAGAAAUGUCGGCGUUAAAUUCUUUGAUAUCGGUCAAAUAAACUCCUCGAAAGCCGAUCGCUCAAUAUCGUCGCGUGCUUUUUAUCGAUGUAAUAGCGAUUUGUUUUACAACAGUUUUUUAAAAUUAUUGACUCCGUGUCUUACAAUUGUUAGCGGCGAUACUUAAUUUUUUCGUACAACUGGCGUUUGCAACCAUAAAUUUAUAUCAAUAAGAAUUUAAGUCGUUUUUUAUUAUACACUGAAUAUGAUUACAGAAAAUGGUCGAAACGUUCGAAAAUUGAAUAAAGAGUAAAUUUGUUUUGCGCACUGAUUUCUGUAUGUAUAAUAUAUAAUUUUCAAGCGUGAUUAAACUGGCAACCUUCCUCCAUUCUACACAAACGCAUUACAAAAGAAGAAAUAUUGUGGAAAUGAUUUUUAUAAAAAUGUAUAAAGCUUCCAUAAAUUUAAAAAAAGACACAGACAAAUUAAAUUUAAUAUACGAUUCCAUUCUUAAUAUCAUAUACGCUUCUUCUGAAAUAAUAUACCUCUCUAGGUCACCGCUACUGUUUUGAUACCAACACAGAGAAUUUAGUACGUAUUGAAUUCUCGAUCGACACAUAUCGUUUCUCGACUCACCACACGACUUAAUUUCAACGUAUCUGUGUAAUAAAGUAAAGUUCUGUGGUGUGUUUAAGUUGACUAAUUUUCUCUAGAUAUGAGCAUCUUUCUCAUUAACGGAUUCUUCUUACUGUGCUUCGUCGUGGCCACAAUACCGGAUGUUCUGGUGCUGGGUUCACCAAAAGCCGCGAAAAUAAUGGACCAGAAUCCGCUACCGACUAUGUGCACUUACAGUAGAACUAAUUCUAUAUUGAAAGCGCGGUGCUCCAAAUUAAAAUCGAACAAAAUUCCGUUAGAUUUGAAAGCAGACAUACAGGUACUGGAUAUUAUUGAGAACCACU